RNAcentral lists this long non-coding RNA (407 nucleotides) under Rattus norvegicus (Norway rat). RNAcentral's name for it is "long non-coding RNA NONRATT025629". The record is from RNAcentral. Lineage: Eukaryota; Metazoa; Chordata; Mammalia; Rodentia; Muridae.
GUUAUUAGAUAGGCAAUAUGUAGACAGAUGACAAAAUAGAUACAUAGAUGAUAGAUAGAUAGACAGACAGACAGACUGACCCAUGAGAUACCCCCAGCACAAUCCAGGCCUCAUGCCCCUAGUUUUUUCUGGACAUCCCUCACUUUCUGGAGCUCAGGAAACCUCACUCCCACAGAGUGAAGCAUCAAGUGGAGUACCUGGGCCUGAGGGAGAACAUCCGAGUGCGUAGGGCAGGUUUUGCCUACCGUCGGCAGUUCUCCAAGUUCCUGCAAAGGUAUGCCAUCCUGACCCCUGAGACAUGGCCACGGUGGCGUGGAGAUGAACGUCAGGGUGUCCAGCACCUGCUUCGUGCUGUCAACAUGGAGCCAGACCAGUACCAGAUGGGCAGCACCAAGGUCUUUGUUAAG